Non-coding RNA from Cricetulus griseus (Chinese hamster), 246 nucleotides. The record is from Rfam. NCBI's taxonomy places the organism in Eukaryota, Metazoa, Chordata, Mammalia, Rodentia, Cricetidae.
AAACAUGACUUUCUUCUCUGGCCAUGACAUCUUUCACCAUCUGCCUAGCUAAGUGGUGUCCCUUUCCUCACUCACCACUCCAUGUAGUCCCUGCUGAUGCUGUGAAAGAGGACGACCUUCCCAGAAUAGAGGAGGACCAGUCUUUGGUCAAGGGUAUAUGAGUAGCUGUGAUCCCCCUGAUAGAACAAGCUUUCUCUUUUCAUAAUGUAAAAGUUUGGGUUUUCCUUCCUUCCUUCCUUCCUUCCC